AGUGUCACGCCGGCAGAACGGACUACUUUGAUGAAAUAGAUUGAGGGCUCAAUCGCCCUGACACCUCAC
RNAcentral lists this transfer RNA (69 nucleotides) under Cumberlandia monodonta. RNAcentral's name for it is "tRNA-Ile". Lineage: Eukaryota; Metazoa; Mollusca; Bivalvia; Unionida; Margaritiferidae. The record is from RNAcentral.